UGGGGAUGACGGUCAAGUCCUCAUGGCCCUUAUGGGUAGGGCUUCACACGUCAUACAAUGGCCGGUACAGAGGGUUGCCAAGCCGCGAGGCGGAGCCAAUCCCAGAAAGCCGGUCGUAGUCCGGAUUGCAGUCUGCAACUCGACUGCAUGAAGUCGGAAUCGCUAGUAAUCGCGGAUCAGCAUGUCGCGGUGAAUACGUUCCCGGGUCCUU
RNAcentral lists this ribosomal RNA (211 nucleotides) under uncultured beta proteobacterium. Its description in RNAcentral is "partial 16S ribosomal RNA". It matches the Rfam family "Bacterial small subunit ribosomal RNA", at positions 1174 to 1382 of the family's 1533-position model. The record is from RNAcentral. Lineage: Bacteria; Pseudomonadati; Pseudomonadota; Betaproteobacteria.